CACAUGCUCCUAAGAUCACCUUUGUGGAUGCCCGUCUUGAGCUGAGUCUACUUGUAAACUCUGGUUUCUUGUAGUCAGUCAAAGAAACAUCCAGCAACUUUUUGGUUGAUAGUCAAAGGUGCUUGAGUCAUUGGCAUGUAAGAUAAAUAUACCUGCAUGUUAGUCUUAGGUUCUGAUAGAAAUGACAUGCAAUUAUGCUGCCAUUUUUUACUAUCAGGACUCGACUGGUGUGCGGACACU
RNAcentral lists this small nucleolar RNA (240 nucleotides) under Bos taurus (domestic cattle). RNAcentral describes it as "Small nucleolar RNA SNORA53". It matches the Rfam family "Small nucleolar RNA SNORA53". Rfam says of the family: The snoRNA ACA53 belongs to the H/ACA family of pseudouridylation guide snoRNAs. The record is from Rfam by way of RNAcentral. Lineage: Eukaryota; Metazoa; Chordata; Mammalia; Artiodactyla; Bovidae.